Molecule: long non-coding RNA, 2153 nt
Filed under: Marmota monax (woodchuck)
Lineage: Eukaryota; Metazoa; Chordata; Mammalia; Rodentia; Sciuridae
Rfam family: tRNA (bases 1069-1138)
Source: RNAcentral
UCUUGCUAGAUAAGAACAGAUCAAUGCUUUAGACUUUGUUUCAUAUCAAUGCAUUAAAAUCUAACUUUAGAAAAUCUUUAAAUAUUUUUUCCUGACUAUAGUAAAUUACAGCCAACUUAAUCAUACACAAACAUUUGGAGAUUUAUGUUCCACAAACCUUCUGCAACUUACUUAGACAUUCAACUACUUGUUUACAUUCUUAGUUUUGUCUUCUCUAUUAUCUUGGACUUCAGCACAAAAACAAAGCUUUAUCAUGCAAAAUACCUUAUCCAGAAACAUACAUUUUCAUAACCAUAACUUUUUAUAUUUCCCUUCUUUCAGUUGUUGACUCUUAAAUUUACAUUCUGGAAUUAGACAAACUUAUAUGAAAUUUAUGAAUUUAGACAAAUUACUCCUUUUUAAAAAAUAUUUUUUAGUGUUGAUGUACCUUUAUUUUAUUCAUUUAUUUAUAUGCGGUGCUGAGAAUUGAACCCAGUGGUUCACACAUGUGAGGCAAGCACUCUACCAUUGAGCCACAACCCCAGCCCCCCAAAUUACUCCUGUUUAAUAAGAUGAACUACUUUACUGUUUUUAUAGUACUUUAACCAAAACACAGUUGAAACAUUUUUUAUUCCUUGCAUAUAGAGUUACAUGUAUUAGAAUUUUAGUAACCUUGCUUUAAUUUAGGCCCAAAACUAAAGCCGCCUUAAAACUGUUCUUCCAUUUACCCACUUAUAAAAACAUAGUUGGUGGGCCCAAAGAAGUCAAGAGCACUUAUACUUAGCAGUUGAUGUUUCAGUAUUUUAACUUUGCAAAUUAAUCAGACAUCUCUAACAAACACAUUCAUAAAUGUUUAUCCCAUAUGUUAAAUCUAAUUUACCCUUUUUAAACUCAGGUUAUCCAUGAAAACCAAGGCAUUAGAAAAGUGUAGUUAACGCUUUAAAUCAGUUAUUCCUCCCAAAGAAAAAUCCUUAAAAACAAUGGACAUUGCAUUUUAAACAUUUUAUAGAAACAAAUGUUUUCUUUAUUGGCUGACCACCUAGAAAAACGCAUAGGUUAGUAAUUUCAAAGGCAAGUUAAAAUAGGGUUGGGGAUAUGGCUUAGUUGGUAAAGUACUUGCUUCGCAUGCACAAGACUCUGGGUUAAAACCCCAGCACCACACCAAAAAAAAAAGUUAAAAUAGAACCUGUCACAGAUUUUUACAGUACGACCUAGACAUGGGAAGGGUAUGUGCAGUUGGGAACAUUGGGAAUAGAAUCUAUCAGCUAUGUGGGCCCUGAAAUCAAAGGUUCAGGUGGCCAGUCGUUCUCCAUGGGGCAGGUUUAUUCCCACCAUCACCACUGUUUAUUUUUUCUGCUUAGGAUUCCUCAAAGGAAAAGAAUACUUAUGGGAUCUUUCCAUUGUUCAUCCCUGUCCCUGGGCCUAGAAUUUUUAUUCUCCGUAUUUUGUAGGUUCUUUUAAUUUAAGUUUCCUCCUGUGUACUCAAUUCACCACCUCCACCCCCUGACUUAUUGGAGGUUUCUUGAGCACCCUGAUCCCUUGUAUGCUUAAUUCCCCUUAUUGGGGAACUCUGGCACACACCCCAUCCCACUUUCCUGGGUGUGGUCUCAUCUUUCUGAAUAGUCUCACACCACCACCCCUUGGGGGGGGUGGGUCUUGCACUCAUGUCUCAGUCACACCCAGGAUGUCCUGACCACAAAGGGAGUACUUCUUUCUUGAGAAUAGAUUUUUCUACCGUGGUCCAUGUAUGGUGUUACCUGGUUGCCGUGGUACUUAUUGGGCUCUUCCUUCACGUUGUUGAUCUACCUUUGAUUUUGGAUCUGUUGUUAGCCUCAGGGAUCACAAUUUUCUUCCCCACUUCAAGGUUGUCAUAAGGCAGUAGGAUGUGUCUCCUCUAUGGAGGUAGUCCCCAGGACCCUUUAGACAACAUAUGGAACCCCACGUUGAACACCAAAAUUGUUAGAAAUACCGGGGGUGCUGCAAGAAAUCAAACACAUGCCUAAAAGUAGCUUGGCAAGGCAAUCUUUACUUCUGCCGGAAGGGUGUGCUAUCAAAUCUGGCUAGCGAGCACACUGGGUAAGCGGUCCACCUGCUUUUAUCCCUAAUGCAGUGCUGCCCCUUUCCCUGAUAGGAGGAGCUCAGGGUUACAAUCUAUACAAUUGGCUGAUUUUAAU